CCAAGGGGAAUUGGGGUUGGGGGAGGGGGUGGAAACGGGGCGGAGAAGCUGGAGAGAAACCGAGUCCACAACAUCGCAGCAGCCAGGGAUCUUUAGCCAGCUCGACUUGCAAAGUCAUCAGUCUCGGAGACUAGUUCUUAAACAAGUUGGCCCUGCACUUCUGCGGGCACUAACCUACUAGGGGAUGAAGGCCUUCUGGCCUUUGGGUAUAGAGAUCUCCAGGGCUGAGGCGAUGCUCUAGAGGCCAGAAUGCUUAAAAGAGGGUUUACAAUGAAUUACCUAACCAGAACCAUCAGGAAAUCUUCCUGAGUGGCAAUGAAUGACUUUAGGUCUGAGGAGGAAUUUCUCUUGAAUUCUUCCAAGGAGUUGAGGAGGAGGAGAGGGUGGUUGAGUGCCCCAAUGUUACUUUUUGAGCAGAAGGUUACAUCUUGCCAAACGAGUCACCUCUUAAAAACCUUUGGGAAUCUUAAAACAUUGCAAAUUGCAACAUUUCAGUCCAAGUGUCUCUGUCUUAGGGCUCUUCUAUGGCUGUGUCCUGCCUAACAUUUUAUCAAACUUGGGGCAAGAGUAAAGGCUGUAUGUGCUGAUGAGCCAAGUAAUUCUGGAUAUUGUGUAUAUGCAACAAUGAUAACUUCCACAAUAUUCAGUUUAACAUAUGAAAGUUUAACCUAGUUCUAAAACACUAAUUUCAGACUUUUAAAAGCCAUCUUAGAAAUGUCCCUUUUGGGCUGAACUUAGCCUGACCUGCAGGACAUCAGCAGAGUGCUACCUACUACGGGAAUACUGGAUUAAUUGGAGUGAAAUCAUUUCAUAUACUUCUGAAGUAAAUUCCCUAAAAGAAAAUUUAACUGAAAACAAGAGUUUUUCUGUUGCAUUUGGAUAAUUCGAAAUGCGCUUUGUUUUCAAACUGCAAACCUGACAUAUUCGCAGCCCUUCCUGAGGAAUGCAUGCUGUGCUAAAAACUGGGGAAGGAAAUGUUAGAAGUAAAUGUUGUUAGAGUUAAUAAUCUCAUACUAAGCAUAUGCAAUGAAUAUGUAUGUAUCUAUACCCUUAAAGUUUGAAUAUGCACUGGCAUUCUCUUAUCAACAAUCAUUUAUUAGUACUUGUAGAGAAGAAACAGAAACGCACGUAUGCUAGAAUUACUAGCAAACUGGUAAAUUUUGGAAUUGGGUCUUUAAUCUGAUCCUACUCUUUCUCCUCAGUUUUUGGAUGAUCUAUCACCUGUUGGCUUAGAAAUAAUCUCUGAAUUGCAUGAAUGAAGUACAGGAGCCUUCACACAGAAGGGGGCGCAAAUUGGAAAAGUCUACAUUUGCAUGGAACUCAACACGGCGUGUUUUAGAUUUCAUCUUGUUUUGAACACUCCACAAGGAUAGCCUACUUUGAUAUUUAAACAAGAGAAUUUUACCAAAGUGGAAUAUAAAGUUUAUGUCAAUACAAGUGACUUUUCACGUCAGGUUCUUCCUCAGUGACGCAAGGAGCCUUAAUGUUUGAACACCUUGCCCUAAAUAAGAGAAAUUAUCUUAAUCACAUUCUGAGACCCUGCUGGAGAGACUGAGCCAUGGAUCAAAAGACUUGGAAAAAGAAGAAGAGGAAAAUACAAAGGAGUGAGAACAGAAUAAAACUAAGGAGGAGACAGAGCAGAAUGUGGAGAGAGGGUGAAUAGGUCUCUGGAGCAAGCGAGCAAGACUGCUAGAGAAAAAGAGAGGAUGAAGCUUGAUAUGUAGGGGGAAUUAGCCUAUUUGACAAGAGAAAGAAAUAAAUUAAUGCAUGUAGUGGGAAAUAGAAAAGCAGCAGGAUUAUUUGCCUCAGUUUCUGCUCAGAGAUAGUUGCAAGUAGCUGCCUGUCCAUUGGUAUAGGCAUUUAGUUUGAAAAAUCCCUAUCAUUCUCACCCAAGUCAUAACUUGGUAAGGAAAAAGGGAGAGAGCCAUGAAACGUGUUAUUAAAGUUGGUGUUUAUGUGAUAGGCAUGCUCUCUGCGGAAUUAGAGUGAAGAGUUGUGAUAUGUCAUUCCUGGAUCUCAAGAUGGUGGAGGGGAAGGUAUCUGGGGAAUACUAAUGCCAUUACUCCAUGAAGAAUGCUAUGAGCCAUGAUAGCAUUUUGGAAAUCUUAAUGUGGUUGUUAAAACUACUAGCCACUAAUUAUUUUCUUCGUGCCCUUCACAAUGGAGAUCAAAGUGGGUGGUUUUCCUGUGGUUAUCCAGGGUCAGUGCCUCUUCCCUCCCACCUCAGACACCUCAGGGAAGGACAUGGCUGUAAGUGAUGGUCCUUGCUCCCAUUCACCCCUAUGCAAGACCUUGAGAGAUUGUAAGGUUCUGGUUCUGCCUAACAGUGCGACCUGGAUUCUGGUUUCAACUGACACCAUUUCAUUCCAACAUGUUUAUUGAUUCUUUUGCAGUUUAACAAAAAAUGCAUCGAAGUCUCUAUUUUGAGUGCUUGGAAUAAGAAAACUUAGUCUCUGACAUCAAGGUGUCACAGUCUAAUGGGAACCAAAACAUGAAAACAGUUUUGUAACUUGGAGAGCUAAAUGCUGUGAUAAGUGUUUUCAAGGAGAGCCAAGGAAGGACACUGGACCUACUCUGAGGUGACAGGAAGCCUUUGCUUGUUGGGAAAUUACCUCCUGCAAAGGUACACUUCUGGGAAGCCUGUCCCAGAGAGAAACACACAGAAAGACCCAAAGACCGAAUUAAGAUGCACAUGUCACAUAGUGUAUCAAGUCAUUUUGAAACAUACAACAAGAAAGGGCAGUAGAUUAAGUAGGUUGAUAUGCUAGGAGCAAAUAGGAAGGACCAUGCUAUCCAGAUCCUGGCACAUAAAUGUAUGAUGUUAAUAUGUUCUCUCUCUCUCUCUCUUUUUUCAUCAGCCAUGCUUGCUGAUGAUGUGGUUAAGAGUUCCAAAGUUAAAGGUGAUCAAUGGUGGAGAGUGACUGGAGUUAAAAUACACUUGUCUCUAUCAGAGAGGCAAAGGGCAAAUACUCUUGUUCACACAGCUGGAGCUUCGCACUUAACCUGUUGAGCCCCUGUGGAUUUUCUUUCUCUGUCUUGGCCAGAGGACAAGUGGGCCAGAUUGGAUGUCACCCAUAGAGAGCCUACUUAAGACCUCAUGAGUAUGUGUGCCACAGAAAUAUGGGGUUCCCUAAGAGCUUCAUGACUAUUAGGUGCUUACUUAGUCUUUCUGUCCCUUCCUACUUACUUUAGUGAUGGGUGAGAUACCUCUCAGACUACUUAUUUCCAUACUUAAUGUCAUCUCUCUUCCUUGUUUUUCUGAUUCUCUCUAGCAGAAUUGAAUAGUCAUGAACAAUACAGCAAACAGGCAUUGCCGUUCUCCUGAAGUGCACUUUAUCUCAGCUUCAGUCUUGAGGCAUGAAUGGGGUGAACAAGGUGAGCUGCAGAGAGGGUAGGAGGAAAGGAAGACAUUGGGAACAGUCUGGGCAAAGGCAUGGAGGCAUGGACGUGCUUGGCCUUUUCAGGGACCUGUGAGGGGUUUUGUAUAGCUGGAGGCAGAAUGACUGUUGGGAGCAGCCAGAAAUGAUACAAAAUUUAAAUCACAGUAAGUUUGUGUGCCAAGGCUAAGGAAUUUAGUUUUUUAAAUGCAUCUGGGAAAAACUUAAGAAUGUUAAGCAGGGAAAUGUCAUGAUCAGAUUUAUAUUUUAUAUAAGUUUGUGGACAAUGAAGGGGAUAGAUUAGACAGUUAUAUGACUAGAUUUAGGAAGUUCUUACAUCAACCCACAAUAUAUCCAAUGUAAGAAUAUCAACUUAUUUAUGAGAACUUACACCAUUGCAGUAGCUAUGGGGGAUGUGAACAGGAUAACAUAAAGUUGAGAAAAAAAUGACUGGAUUUGGGGAUAUUUGGAAGAAUCAGCUUCCUCAUCUGUAAAAUGAAGUAAUCGGAUAAUUUGGGUAAGUUGAAGAAUCUAAACUUGAAAGGAUUUUAUAAAUUAUCUAGUCUGACUAGUUAGUUUUAUAGAUGAAAUUUUUUUCUCUAUGACUCUUGAAACUCCAAGAUUGGGCAAUUAUCUGGAAUCUGGAAGUAUUUUUCUAAGUGAGGAGAAUGAGUUUCCUUCUAGUUCUGGAGCUCACUUGUGGCCAACUAUGGGACUAAGUUUUGUGCCGAAAAUAAGUAAAAUAGGCAGUGAAGGGGCUCCCUCCAAAAGCCACUUUAUAUUUGCCAUUGUCACACUUUAAAUUAAUCACUGGUAGCUCAUUAAGUUGGAACCUGGCAUGGUCCCCUCUGGGCUCCUCUUUUAGAUGGAAAUGUCCCCAAGUGAGGUAACACAUUAGGUCACUAAUGCUUUUGAGUGAAUUAGAUUGUAUGAUGUUUUUCCCAAGGAAGGAGGGUCUCAAGAUAGUGAAGGACACUGGGACAUACUGGAAAGACCAGAUUUAAUAGCAGGGGAACUGUGCAGAAAAGAAAAGUUGUGGUACUGGCAGACCUUUAUAAUUUUCCCAAGUGUGGGCCCUGGCCUGACACCACGGGCCUGUCCAAGCCUUCUGUACCUGUUGUUCUGUGUGGCUGAAGAUGUUGAGUUCUAUCUUUUGGAUUCAGUUCUAGAUAGAUUAAGCACAGUGAGAUAGGAAAUGUCCCUACUGGCCUUGUCUCAUCAUCUGGAUUUCUGCCAAGGUCUGAGAACCUUGACAUAUUCUGUCAAAUAUGGGAUACUCUUCUAUGUCACUAUCAGAUGUGUGUUAAGAGCAAACAAUAAUCCAUUAUUUCUUUGUUUUAACUAUAAUGGGCCUAUUUAGAUGUAAUUAUGUUCAAGAGUAGAAAUGUUUCCAGGGAAUAUGAAAUGUAUACAAUGGCUGAGAAAGCAAAAAUAUCUGCUAAUGAUCAUAAACAACCUUAAUAGCAAUUUUAAUUUCAUGGCCAACUUUUUAGACUAGUGCUAAAGAGUUGUUAAAAAUACCCUAAAGAGAAAGAGAAAGAUGUUAAUUCUGAAGCAUAUCAGCAGGCUUGAGAAUCUGAAGAGUAGUUACUGCAGAUUAAUUAUAUUUAUUUUUUAACUGGUCCAUUCUCUACAGUCUGAUAUAAUUACUGGGAAAAAUAAACUAUUUCUAGAU
Molecule: long non-coding RNA, 5052 nt
Organism: Manis pentadactyla (Chinese pangolin)
Lineage: Eukaryota; Metazoa; Chordata; Mammalia; Pholidota; Manidae
Exons: 2
Source: RefSeq, a predicted model, not a curated record